UACGUAGGGUGCAAGCGUUGUCCGGAAUUAUUGGGCGUAAAGAGCUCGUAGGCGGUCUGUCGCGUCGGCUGUGAAAUCCCGAGGCUCAACCUCGGGUCUGCAGUCGAUACGGGCAGACUAGAGUGUGGUAGGGGAGACUGGAAUUCCUGGUGUAGCGGUGAAAUGCGCAGAUAUCAGGAGGAACACCGGUGGCGAAGGCGGGUCUCUGGGCCAUAACUGACGCUGAGGAGCGAAAGCGUGGGGAGCGAACAGG
Molecule: ribosomal RNA, 253 nt
Filed under: uncultured bacterium
Lineage: Bacteria
Description: partial 16S ribosomal RNA
Rfam family: Bacterial small subunit ribosomal RNA
Source: RNAcentral